RNAcentral lists this ribosomal RNA (253 nucleotides) under uncultured bacterium. RNAcentral's name for it is "partial 16S ribosomal RNA". It matches the Rfam family "Bacterial small subunit ribosomal RNA", at positions 524 to 776 of the family's 1533-position model. The record is from RNAcentral.
GACAGAGGGUGCAAACGUUGUUCGGAAUUACUGGGCGUAAAGCGCAUGUAGGCGGCCUAGCAGGUCGGAUGUGAAAUCCCUCGGCUCAACCAAGGAAGUGCAUUCGAAACCGCAAGGCUGGAGUCCCGGAGAGGAUGGUGGAAUUCUCGGUGUAGAGGUGAAAUUCGUAGAUAUCGAGAGGAACACCUGCGGCGAAGGCGGGUUGCUGGGCUGACACUGACGCUGAUGCGCGAAAGCUAGGGGAGCGAACGGG